This 253-nucleotide ribosomal RNA is filed under the name uncultured bacterium. RNAcentral describes it as "partial 16S ribosomal RNA". It matches the Rfam family "Bacterial small subunit ribosomal RNA", at positions 524 to 776 of the family's 1533-position model. The record is from RNAcentral.
UACGGAGGGUGCAAACGUUGCUUGGAAUCAUUGGGCGUAAAGCGCACGUAGGCGGGCCAUCAAGUCGGUUGUGAAAUCCCUCGGCUUAACCGAGGACGUGCAUUCGAAACUGAUGGCCUUGAGUACGAAAGAGGAUCGCGGAAUUCCCGGUGUAGAGGUGAAAUUCGUAGAUAUCGGGAGGAACACCAGUGGCGAAGGCGGCGAUCUGGGUCGAUACUGACGCUGAGGUGCGAAAGCGUGGGGAGCAAACAGG